RNAcentral lists this ribosomal RNA (252 nucleotides) under uncultured bacterium. RNAcentral describes it as "partial 16S ribosomal RNA". It matches the Rfam family "Bacterial small subunit ribosomal RNA", at positions 524 to 776 of the family's 1533-position model. The record is from RNAcentral.
UACGUAGGGGGCGAGCGUUGUCCGAAUUUACUGGGCGUAAAGCGCGCGUAGGCGGACCUUUAAGUUGGGGGUGAAAUCUCAAGGCUUAACCUUGAAACUGCCUCCAAAACUGGGGGUCUGAGGUAUGGAGAGGGAAGUGGAAUUCCUGGUGUAGCGGUGAAAUGCGUAGAUAUCGUGAGGAACACCAGAGGCGAAGGCGGUUUCCUGGACAGUUACUGACGCUCAGGCACGAAAGCAUGGGGAGCAAAAGGG